GAUGUACGCUGGCGGCGUGCCUAAUACAUGCAAGUCGAGCGAACAGACGAGGAGCUUGCUCCUCUGACGUUAGCGGCGGACGGGUGAGUAACACGUGGAUAACCUACCUAUAAGACUGGGAUAACUUCGGGAAACCGGAGCUAAUACCGGAUAAUAUAUAGAACCGCAUGGUUCAAUAGUGAAAGACGGUUUUGCUGUCACUUAUAGAUGGAUCCGCGCCGCAUUAGCUAGUUGGUAAGGUAACGGCUUACCAAGGCAACGAUGCGUAGCCGACCUGAGAGGGUGAUCGGCCACACUGGAACUGAGACACGGUCCAGACUCCUACGGGAGGCAGCAGUAGGGAAUCUUCCGCAAUGGGCGAAAGCCUGACGGAGCAACGCCGCGUGAGUGAUGAAGGUCUUCGGAUCGUAAAACUCUGUUAUUAGGGAAGAACAAAUGUGUAAGUAACUAUGCACGUCUUGACGGUACCUAAUCAGAAAGCCACGGCUAACUACGUG
This 497-nucleotide ribosomal RNA is filed under the name uncultured bacterium. RNAcentral describes it as "partial 16S ribosomal RNA". It matches the Rfam family "Bacterial small subunit ribosomal RNA", at positions 28 to 507 of the family's 1533-position model. The record is from RNAcentral.